CGGGAGGCAGCAGUGGGGAAUAUUGCACAAUGGGCGCAAGCCUGAUGCAGCCAUGCCGCGUGUGUGAAGAAGGCCUUCGGGUUGUAAAGCACUUUCAGUCGUGAGGAAGGUAGUGUAGUUAAUAGCUGCAUUAUUUGACGUUAGCGACAGAAGAAGCACCGGCUAACUCCGUGCCAGCAGCCGCGGUAAUACGGAGGGUGCGAGCGUUAAUCGGAAUUACUGG
RNAcentral lists this ribosomal RNA (223 nucleotides) under Vibrio alginolyticus. RNAcentral's name for it is "partial 16S ribosomal RNA". It matches the Rfam family "Bacterial small subunit ribosomal RNA", at positions 342 to 557 of the family's 1533-position model. The record is from RNAcentral. Lineage: Bacteria; Pseudomonadati; Pseudomonadota; Gammaproteobacteria; Vibrionales; Vibrionaceae.